Schistocerca cancellata (South American locust) is the source of this 424-nucleotide long non-coding RNA. RefSeq lists it as uncharacterized. The transcript is spliced from 3 exons. Lineage: Eukaryota; Metazoa; Arthropoda; Insecta; Orthoptera; Acrididae. The record is from RefSeq and is a predicted model, not a curated record.
AAGUUCUCGUGGCUGUACUCGACUUGCAACACGUGAUGAAAUAUCGACCUUCGAAGUGUCAAGUGUCAACUGUUUUUAACUUCGGAUUAUCCGCAUGGUACGCUGAACAACAGUGUACGCUGUACAGACUACUGGGUUCCGACUAGUACAGUUUGUGCUGGUGGUUCAUCAGGAUUAUUGAUGGAUUUGGCAGCAAAUGAAAAGGCUGUGCAUGCAGAUUUCUUUAAUGAUUUUGAGGAUCUGUACGAUGACGAAGAUCUACAGUGACCAUUAAAUCAAAUGUGCUUAUGUAAUGAAAAACCAAAUUAUGAAGAGUGCAUCACAUUUGUGUGUCUGAAGUUUAAAUGACUGAUACUGUGUUUUCAGAUCUCGUGUUGGUGUUUUUUAGUUAUGUUUAAUUUGUUAAUAAAAAUUUGAUGAAACA